AGAUCUCCUUUUAUCACCGAGAUCUGCUCGCUUUAUACCAAACAGAGCACAGCACCUGUCUCUUCCUAUCCAUUUGCUGACGGUAACCUGGCCACCGUGCAAGCCAGGGGACAGGCACCCCGCUUCGCUUCCACUCGGGGCAUCUCGGUUGGGACGGGGAUCCCAGGAAGCCGCACGGAGCCGGCUCCGCUCCCCGCACCCCGCGGUCCCGCAGCGCUGUGCGAUGCCGUGAGGCUCGCAGGAGGGAAUUCCUUCCAGAUUCAAGGCUUGCCACGGGUAUUCCUGCUGCAGGAUGGGCAUGGCUCAUCUCAUCCAGCAUCCCCAGGUAGAGCAUCCCUAGGGAGCCACCCCAGGGGACCCUCUGGCUUAGCACCUGUCCCUGCUUCAGAGGGAUGUUCUCACUUGCAAAGCACCUCUUAUCCUGUACUCAGGAGAGCCAAGGCACCCUUCCAGUACCAAAGGUACCACUUCUGCACCAAAGGAAUACUUUUCUCCUUGUUCUUCCCAAUUCUUAGCAAAAUGUUUUAAGCAUUUGGGGACUUUUUUUUUUUUUUUCCCCAGUAUAAGCUAAAUUUAUUUAAUCUUUUCCUUUACUGCAGAUUUCACCCAAGGGUUUGCCAGGAAGCAGAUACAUCUUUGACCAAAAUGACUGAGGUCUGCUCCAGCACAACUCAGACAGAGCUCCUGACAAAUGUUUUGCUGUCCUUGCCCUUGGAUAAUGCUGCCAGCCAUGGAUGCCACUAGCGUGUGACAUUUUGUCCCUUACCUGUGGUUUUCAUUCUAAACUGGUGCAAAUCAAGAAAGGUUACACAUAUUUCAGUCAAACAGAGCAGGGGAGAAACACAGGCAAUCCAAGCCACCUCAGGAGCAGGUAGGUAGAAAGAGAGACAUAUAUCCUGGUUCUAUACACCUUCUUAGCUUAAUUUGCCCCUUUGAGAUUGGGGUAAGUGUUUUUCUGAGGUUCCAUGACCAUAUGGGACUUUCCUUCUUCUUCCAAGCCCACCUGGGCUUGCCUCUUCCUUCCAUCCCACUCUUCACUCUUGCAGUCUAAAUCAUGGAAUCAGGUGGUAAAGAUUAAAACCACUCCUGAAAGCAU
This 1096-nucleotide long non-coding RNA is filed under the name Cyanistes caeruleus (blue tit). Its description in RNAcentral is "lncRNA (ENSCCEG00000016305.1)". The record is from RNAcentral. Lineage: Eukaryota; Metazoa; Chordata; Aves; Passeriformes; Paridae.